AUAUCGUAUAAAAUCAUUUCAGAAAGCUAGCUUUCAAUAUGGAAUUAGGUGAAAAUCCUAAACUGUCGUGCAACUGUGUUUCUUUUUAAAAAGAUAAGUCAGAUACAUAGAAAUGAUUUUGUUUGGGC
RNAcentral lists this non-coding RNA (128 nucleotides) under Flavobacterium terrae. The record is from RNAcentral. Lineage: Bacteria; Pseudomonadati; Bacteroidota; Flavobacteriia; Flavobacteriales; Flavobacteriaceae.